Long non-coding RNA from Myotis daubentonii (Daubenton's bat), 2594 nucleotides. RefSeq lists it as uncharacterized. The record is from RefSeq and is a predicted model, not a curated record. Lineage: Eukaryota; Metazoa; Chordata; Mammalia; Chiroptera; Vespertilionidae.
GAGCCGCGUCGUCACGCGCGUGGAGGGCGCUGGGAGGGCGGAGUCGGGGACUGGAGGAGGGAAGCCGGCCCGUCGCAUCGCAAGGCUCGUCGUCACGUGGUAGGCGCCCAGGCGGAAGUCUCCGGCAGCUCUUUUUACUGUGAGGCGCUUGCAGACAAACCACUCCUGGAAAAAGCGUGAAUACUGGUGACACUCGAGCUCAGCGCCGCUGGGACCACCUCCUGUGGGGCGUUUCUGCUCCUCCCCGCCGCGGAGGAACGGGUUGAUGUGGAAGGGGCGGUGGCGGCUGCCCGGGUGGGAAUGGCCGCGCAGGGCGGGUCACGUGGCCCCGCUUCCGGGCCCGGGCGCGGGCGCGCUGGGACUGCGGGCAGAGUUUUAAAUGCGGAGUCAUCUCCGAGCCUGUGAGCUGGCUCGGACUCCGCGCUACGGCGUUGGCGCAUCUCGCACAGCGUGGGCCUUGCGCUUGCAACAUUGUGUACGUGUUCCUACUAAAUACGAUGGGAGCUGAUGUGGCCCCGCCGCGCGCACGUCCCAGAAUUGAACUGAAAUCGGCGGAGUUUUGUGUCGCCACCGGGACAGCUUAAAAAGUCUCUGGGUUUAAGUUUCCCCAAGGAAGCAAACCAAGCACCCACUACGAGAUUAUGACAGAAGGGUAAUUCUCUGUAUUUUUUUUUAAAUACGUUGCCGAAAUUCUGUGACUGCACAUGGCCUGCAUGUACUAAUGUCUGAAAUACUUGCCCCAACGCACCGACUCACGUGGCCUGUCGCUGCGAGAGAGCUGGCAGAAAGUGUCCAAAUUAGAGUGCUGACCUAGUGUGCCUAAGCUAAAUCCCACCUUUCUGUCCACAGUUUACACAGAUCAGAGAAUGCUAUGUGGAGAAGGUACAAUUCACAGGACCUAAUUUUCUUGCCCUUAGGGAUUUCGAGAGACAUGGAAUGUAGUCUGGACGAGUGAGGGAGUUGAUCCUCAGGGCAGAGCAAAAGAAAAUGUCAAAGUUUUAUGCCGCUGAUUCCAGAUUUGAAGGAUACCAGACAUCCUACUAGACUAGAGAGAGAAACAGAUGCAACCUGCCAGGACAUGAAGGAAGAGAUUAGAGAAAGCAAGAUUAGAGAAAGCAAAGGCCAGUAAUGCUCAGAAAAUGGGAAGCUGUGGAUAGGUCUGUGAAUAGGUAUAAAGAAUAUCUGUUAACCUUGGGAUUCCUUUUAAGGCCAUAGGAUCCUCCAUUCAACUCUUAACAUUCAGUUGCUUCUCAGUUCCCUGCAUGGCCGCCUGCUUGGGGGCACUGGGAGCACUUGUUAAAAAUGCACAGGAGCCUUUCCUCCUUAAGGACCUCUGAUGAGCAUGCCUCUGGCUAGGGAUCUCCUUCAGCCCUCUCCAAAGAGAAGAGGAAAUAAAAAGCAGACCUGGUGCAGAGCCCCAAUUCCCACUUCGUGGAUAUGAAAUGUCCAGGAUGUUAUAAAAUUACCACAGUCUUUGGCCGUGUACAAACAGUAGUUUUAUGUGUUAGUUGCUCCAUUGUCCUGUCAGCCAACAGGAGGAAAAGCAAGGCUUGCAGCGCUAAAAGCACCUGGAAUCAAGAUGAGUGGGGAACCAUCCCCACAAGUACAUUUUGGAUUUUUAAAAAUGCACAGCAAAUCAUAGUGUUCUUGAUAUAUAAAAUUAUGAGUCUGUCAACAUUUGUAAUUUGGUUAAUAUCAGCUGCCUAUAUCAGCCUGGAAAGUUAUACCAUCCCUAGUCAAUUUCACUGCAUAUUUUUAAAAGGGCUUCUUAUUACUUCCUUAUAUAUAGGAUAUCCCCAAAAAUGUAUAUACACACUUUGAAUAAUUAUAAAGACAGUAUUUAUUAAAAUACAUUUCAUUUUUAAAAUUGAGCUAUCAGCUGUUAAAGUGGUAUGUAUGUUUUUUGGGACACCCUGUACAUACUACCAUUUGCACAUGGAAUCCCUCACCUUCCACUUUUUUUCCCCCUACUGAUUCCAAUGUAAUUAGCCAGUUAUUAAUAAAGGAACAAAGAGGGAAGGCCAGACAUAGGAAUGUCAUCUGGCCAGUUUCACCAGGAACUUUGUACUCCCCAGGGAGCCACCAGCCUUUUCCCUGUUAAUCUCUAGGGGAAGGGAUCCAACAAAGGGAAAUAGACACAUGCCCAGUAAAGUUGAGGUAACAUAGGGAAGGUAUUUGCUUGUCAAAUCACACCUAGGGACAGAGAUAGUUGGCCAGAAUGGGCAUGGCCACUGCAAGCCUGCCAAAAUUUGGGAAUACAUAAUCCUCUAAAGAAAGGAAUUCUCUUUCUUGUUGUGCUUAUGCACUUGGCUGGUGACUUCUGGAUUCCUGGCUCCUUAAGUUCUGUAUGGCCGGGGGCCGUGUGGACCCCACGUGCAAUGGACUAAUGGACUACAGGAGGAAACAAAAGCUAAGCUAGCCUGAUGCAGGAUUGGACCCGGCUCCAACAUGGAAAGGAACUCUGGACACUGGCUUUGAUUUUAGCUCUCCUGGAACCCCAGCUACACUUCUUCUAUGACUGACGCAAGGAAAAUGGGACUUUUGGAAACCCAGGGAUGUAAUUCCACAGAAAUAAAGCUUUCUACCAUAUCUUA